GGCAAGGUGGCCGAGCGGUCCAAGGCGCCACGUUAAGGUGUAGAACCCUUAAUCACGAUCCGUGGUCUCGAAAGGGGCGUGAGUUCGAAUCUCACCCUUGUCA
This 103-nucleotide transfer RNA is filed under the name Thermochaetoides thermophila DSM 1495. RNAcentral describes it as "Chaetomium thermophilum var. thermophilum DSM 1495 tRNA". It matches the Rfam family "tRNA". Rfam says of the family: Transfer RNA (tRNA) molecules are approximately 80 nucleotides in length. Their secondary structure includes four short double-helical elements and three loops (D, anti-codon, and T loops). Further hydrogen bonds mediate the characteristic L-shaped molecular structure. tRNAs have two regions of fundamental functional importance: the anti-codon, which is responsible for specific mRNA codon recognition, and the 3' end, to which the tRNAs corresponding amino acid is attached (by aminoacyl-tRNA synthetases). tRNAs cope with the degeneracy of the genetic code in two manners: having more than one tRNA (with a specific anti-codon) for a particular amino acid; and 'wobble' base-pairing, i.e. permitting non-standard base-pairing at the 3rd anti-codon position. Lineage: Eukaryota; Fungi; Ascomycota; Sordariomycetes; Sordariales; Chaetomiaceae. The record is from Rfam by way of RNAcentral.